Molecule: ribosomal RNA, 460 nt
Filed under: uncultured bacterium
Lineage: Bacteria
Description: bacterial SSU rRNA
Rfam family: Bacterial small subunit ribosomal RNA
Source: RNAcentral
GAUGAACGCUGGCGGUAUGCCUAAUACAUGCAAGUCGUGCGGAAAGGCCUCUUCGGAGGUACUCGAGCGGCGGACGGCAGAGUAACGCGUAGGAACAUACCCCAAACUGAGGGAUAACUGCUCGAAAGAGUAGCUAAUACCGCAUGUGGUCUUCGGACUAAAGCUUCGGCGGUUUGGGAAUGGCCUGCGUUCGAUUAGCUAGUUGGUGAGGUAAUUGCUCACCAAGGCGACGAUCGAUAGCUGGUCUGAGAGGAUGAUCAGCCUGACUGGAACUGAGACACGGUCCAGACUCCUACGGGAGGCAGCAGUAGGGAAUUUUCCACAAUGGGCGAAAGCCUGAUGGAGCAAUACCGCGUGCAGGAUGAAGGCCUUCGGGUCGUAAACUGCUUUAUGUGAGAAGAAUUUGACGGUAACACAUGAAUAAGGGUCGGCGUAACUACGUGCCAGCAGCCGCGGUAAU